Fukomys damarensis (Damara mole-rat) is the source of this 480-nucleotide long non-coding RNA. RefSeq lists it as uncharacterized. The transcript has 4 exons. The record is from RefSeq and is a predicted model, not a curated record. Lineage: Eukaryota; Metazoa; Chordata; Mammalia; Rodentia; Bathyergidae.
CUUCUGGUGUCAGACUGUCCUGGUAGGGAGUUAGGAAAACCAGCCUUCUGCCUCUGCAUGGAUCAAACCUACUGAGUGGAGAAUUGGAGCAUUAACUGGGAAAGGAUCCUACUGCUAGAAGAAUGUCAAACACGUGACUAAAAUGGAUGGGAUACAAAUAGUUAAAAUGACCUCAUGGUGCUUGAUUGGCUGGUGAUGAUUUCCUGGUGGAAUGGCUUGUUGAAGUCCUGCUGAAAACACUUGGUCCAAUUUCUUGCCCAUCAUUAAUGAACUGCAACGUGCUGUGGGAGUUAAUACAGGGCUUGCAGAACCUCCACAACUGAUGCCUUCAAACUUGCAAAAAAGCUUGGUUUUGAGGAAUGACAGUGACUAUGUCUGCUUUUCUGGCAAUCACAUAGGAAAUGAGGUAGAGAUUGUUGCUGGAGCACAGCCUGAGAAUAUAAAAGAAAAGCUGUUUUCAACUCAAUUUGUGGAAAAGUC